Molecule: ribosomal RNA, 31 nt
Filed under: Leptographium lundbergii
Lineage: Eukaryota; Fungi; Ascomycota; Sordariomycetes; Ophiostomatales; Ophiostomataceae
Description: partial 28S ribosomal RNA
Source: RNAcentral
UUGACCUCGGAUCAGGUAGGACUACCCGCUG